RNAcentral lists this small RNA (630 nucleotides) under uncultured fungus. RNAcentral describes it as "eukaryotic LSU rRNA". The stretch from base 187 to 340 matches the Rfam family "5.8S ribosomal RNA". Lineage: Eukaryota; Fungi. The record is from RNAcentral.
UGCGGAAGGAUCAUUAAUGAAUUCAGGGAAUUGAUGCUGGCCUCUGGGCAUGUGCUCGUUCUCUAUAAUCCAUUCACACCUGUGCACUUGUUUUCAGAGUUAGGGAGAAAUCCCUGCUCUGCUAAUCACAUACUCUUAUAAUUUACUAUGAAUGUUUAUCAAGUCGAAAGACUUUUAAAUUAAUACAACUUUUAACAACGGAUCUCUUGGCUCUCGCAUCGAUGAAGAACGCAGCGAAAUGCGAUAAGUAAUGUGAAUUGCAGAAUUCAGUGAAUCAUCGAAUCUUUGAACGCACCUUGCGCUCCUUGGUAUUCCGAGGAGCACGCCUGUUCGAGUGUCAUGAAGCUCUCAAGCGAUAAUAACUUUAUUGUUGUUAUUUAGCUUGGAUUUGGGACUUGCUGUGUUACAACGGCUGUCCCUAAAUGCAUUAGCCGGCUCUAAUGGAAGACUUGGUUCUUACUCGGUGUGAUAAUUAUCUUACGCUGAGGACAUUUCCUGUAAAAAGGGAGAUGGCCAGGACUAUCAUUAGGCUGCUUCUAAUCGUCUCUUCUGACAAAUUAACAUUUCAAAUCUGACCUCGAAUCAGGUGGGACUACCCGCUGAACUUAAGCAUAUCAAUAAGCGGAGGAA